UACAGGGGGGGCAAGCGUUGUUCGGAAUUACUGGGCGUAAAGCGCGCGUAGGCGGAUUUGUAAGUCAGGGGUGAAAUCCCGGGGCUCAACCUCGGAACUGCCUUUGAUACUGCAAAUCUCGAGUCCGGAAGAGGUGAGUGGAAUUCCUAGUGUAGCGGUGAAAUGCGCAGAUAUCAGGAAGAACACCCGUGGCGAAGGCGGCUCUCUGGGACGGUACUGACGCUGAGACGCGAAAGCGUGGGGAGCGAACAGG
RNAcentral lists this ribosomal RNA (253 nucleotides) under uncultured bacterium. Its description in RNAcentral is "partial 16S ribosomal RNA". It matches the Rfam family "Bacterial small subunit ribosomal RNA", at positions 524 to 776 of the family's 1533-position model. The record is from RNAcentral.